RNAcentral lists this ribosomal RNA (490 nucleotides) under uncultured bacterium. Its description in RNAcentral is "partial 16S ribosomal RNA". It matches the Rfam family "Bacterial small subunit ribosomal RNA", at positions 28 to 507 of the family's 1533-position model. The record is from RNAcentral.
GAUGAACGCUAGCGGCAGGCCUAAUACAUGCAAGUCGAACGGGAUCCAGAUCAAAGCUUGCUUUGGUCUGGUGAGAGUGGCGCACGGGUGCGUAACGCGUGAGCAACCUACCCUUGUCAGGGGGAUAGCCCGGCGAAAGUCGGAUUAAUACCGCAUGACAUCAUUGAGAGGCAUCUUUCGAUGAUCAAAGAUUUAUCGGACAAGGAUGGGCUCGCGUGACAUUAGCUAGUUGGUAAGGUAACGGCUUACCAAGGCUGCGAUGUCUAGGGGCUCUGAGAGGAGAAUCCCCCACACUGGUACUGAGACACGGACCAGACUCCUACGGGAGGCAGCAGUAAGGAAUAUUGAUCAAUGGACGGAAGUCUGAACCAGCCAUGCCGCGUGCAGGAAGACGGCCCUAUGGGUUGUAAACUGCUUUUAUACGGGAACAAACGUCGGUACGUGUACCGGUCUGAGUGUACCGUAAGAAUAAGGAUCGGCUAACUCCGUG